UAUGAGGUUCCCGGUAUUCCGAAUUUCACAUGGCAUAAUCUUGAUUUCAUUUCUCCACGGGAUCACGUCUAUUAUUUUUACAUGUGACAAUGGUUGGAGUUAUUUUAGCGGGAAAUGUUACAAAGCAUUUCUUGGUGGUAGAGACUGGCAUGCCACUCGUAGAGCUUGUUUAAACCUCGGUGCAACACUACCUGUAGUACCAAACAAAGCCACACACGAAUUUAUCGUCAGUUCUUAUGGGAGACAGUGGGGUAGAUUUGGAACAUACUUGUCUGCAAAUGACAUUUCCAGUGAAGGAACAUGGAACUGGGUGGAUAGCGAGGAACCGUUUUCUUUCACAUACUGGGGGCCAGG
Saccostrea echinata is the source of this 354-nucleotide long non-coding RNA. RefSeq lists it as uncharacterized. The transcript has 3 exons. The record is from RefSeq and is a predicted model, not a curated record. Lineage: Eukaryota; Metazoa; Mollusca; Bivalvia; Ostreida; Ostreidae.